RNAcentral lists this ribosomal RNA (497 nucleotides) under uncultured bacterium. Its description in RNAcentral is "partial 16S ribosomal RNA". It matches the Rfam family "Bacterial small subunit ribosomal RNA", at positions 28 to 507 of the family's 1533-position model. The record is from RNAcentral.
GAUGAACGCUUGCGGCGUGCCUAAUACAUGCAAGUCGAGCGAACAGCUGAGGAGCUUGCUCCUCUGACGUUAACGACGGAAGGGUGAGUAACACGUCGAGAACCUACCUAUAAGACUGAGAUAACUUCGGGAAACCGGAGCUAGUACCGGAUAAUAUAUUGGAUCGAAUGGUUCAGUAGUGAAAGACGGUUUUGCUGUCCCGUAUUGGUGGUCCCGCGCCGACUUAGCUCGUUGGUAGGGUACCGGCUUACCGAAGGAACGAUGCGUAGCCGACCGGAGAGACAUCUCUGCCCCAGUGGAUCUGAGACACGGUCCAGACACCUACGGGAUGCAGCAGUCGGGAAUCUUCCGCAAUGGGCGAAAGCCUGGCGGAGCAACGCCGCGGGAGUGAAGAAGGUCUUCGGAUUGUAAAACUCGGUUAUUAGGGAAGAACAAAUGUGUAAGGAAAUAGGCACGUCUUGUCGGUACCCAAUCAGAAAGCCACGGCUAACUACGUG